CCCAGGCUUUGGGAUAACCCCGGGAAACCGGGGCUAAUACCGAAUAUGACCUUGCACCGCAUGGUGUUUGGUGGAAAGUUUUUCGGCUUGGGAUGGGCUCGCGGCCUAUCAGCUUGUUGGUGGGGUGAUGGCCUACCAAGGCGACGACGGGUAGCCGGCCUGAGAGGGCGACCGGCCACACUGGGACUGAGACACGGCCCAGACUCCUACGGGAGGCAGCAGUGGGGAAUAUUGCACAAUGGGCGGAAGCCUGAUGCAGCGACGCCGCGUGAGGGAUGACGGCCUUCGGGUUGUAAACCUCUUUCAGCAGGGACGAAGCGUAAGUGACGGUACCUGCAGAAGAAGCGCCGGCCAACUACGUGCCAGCAGCCGCGGUAAGACGUAGGGCGCGAGCGUUGUCCGGAUUUAUUGGGCGUAAAGAGCUCGUAGGCGGCUUGUCGCGUCGACUGUGAAAACCCGCAGCUCAACUGCGGGCCUGCAGUCGAUACGGGCAGGCUAGAGUUCGGUAGGGGAGACUGGAAUUCCUGGUGUAGCGGUGAAAUGCGCAGAUAUCACGAGGAACACCGGUG
This 569-nucleotide ribosomal RNA is filed under the name Micromonospora sp. PWB-012. Its description in RNAcentral is "bacterial SSU rRNA". It matches the Rfam family "Bacterial small subunit ribosomal RNA", at positions 130 to 714 of the family's 1533-position model. Lineage: Bacteria; Bacillati; Actinomycetota; Actinomycetes; Micromonosporales; Micromonosporaceae. The record is from RNAcentral.